RNAcentral lists this ribosomal RNA (351 nucleotides) under uncultured Pseudomonas sp. Its description in RNAcentral is "bacterial SSU rRNA". It matches the Rfam family "Bacterial small subunit ribosomal RNA", at positions 55 to 408 of the family's 1533-position model. The record is from RNAcentral. Lineage: Bacteria; Pseudomonadati; Pseudomonadota; Gammaproteobacteria; Pseudomonadales; Pseudomonadaceae.
AUGCAAGUCGAGCGGAUGACGGGGGCUUGCUCCUUGAUUCAGCGGCGGACGGGUGAGUAAUGCCUAGGAAUCUGCCUGGUAGUGGGGGACAACGUUUCGAAAGGAACGCUAAUACCGCAUACGUCCUACGGGAGAAAGCAGGGGACCUUCGGGCCUUGCGCUAUCAGAUGAGCCUAGGUCGGAUUAGCUAGUUGGUGGGGUAAUGGCUCACCAAGGCGACGAUCCGUAACUGGUCUGAGAGGAUGAUCAGUCACACUGGAACUGAGACACGGUCCAGACUCCUACGGGAGGCAGCAGUGGGGAAUAUUGGACAAUGGGCGAAAGCCUGAUCCAGCCAUGCCGCGUGUGUGA